This 137-nucleotide ribosomal RNA is filed under the name uncultured eukaryote. Its description in RNAcentral is "partial 18S ribosomal RNA". It matches the Rfam family "Eukaryotic small subunit ribosomal RNA", at positions 1299 to 1458 of the family's 1831-position model. The record is from RNAcentral.
UGGUGGAGUGAUUUGUCUGCUUAAUUGCGAUAACGAACGAGACCUUAACCUGCUAAAUAGCCUGUAUUGCUUUGGCAGUACGCUGGCUUCUUAGAGGGACUAUCGGCUCAAGCCGAUGGAAGUUUGAGGCAAUAACA